AAUAGAUACCCAGGUAGUCCACGCCGUAAACGAUGAGUGCUAAGUGUUAGGGGGUUUCCGCCCCUUAGUGCUGCAGCUGACGCAUUAAGCACUCCGCCUGGGGAGUACGGCCGCAAGGCUGAAACUCAAAGGAAUUGACGGGGGCCCGCACAAGCGGUGGAGCAUGUGGUUUAAUUCGAAGCAACGCGAAGAACCUUACCAGGUCUUGACAUCUCCUGACCGCCCUGGAGACAGGGUCUUCCCUUCGGGGACAGGAUGACAGGUGGUGCAUGGUUGUCGUCAGCUCGUGUCGUGAGAUGUUGGGUUAAGUCCCGCAACGAGCGCAACCCUUGUCCUUAGUUGCCAGCAUUCAGUUGGGCACUCUAAGGAGACUGCCGGCUAAAAGUCGGAGGAAGGUGGGGAUGACGUCAAAUCAUCAUGCCCCUUAUGACCUGGGCUACACACGUGCUACAAUGGGCGGUACAGAGGGUCGCGAACCCGCGAGGGGGAGCCAAUCCCAAAAAACCGGCUCUCAGUUCGGAUUGCAGGCUGC
This 532-nucleotide ribosomal RNA is filed under the name uncultured bacterium. Its description in RNAcentral is "bacterial SSU rRNA". It matches the Rfam family "Bacterial small subunit ribosomal RNA", at positions 777 to 1308 of the family's 1533-position model. The record is from RNAcentral.